UUUAAAUAAAUUCUGUAAAGGAUACUUUGAUUUAACAAUAUGUUUUUUUGAUGUUUUCCUAUUCUUAAGGCACAGCCAUUGUUUUUUGUUGGUAAAGGUAUUAUGAACCUGAGGAAAAUAUAUAUUCUUUAAUAGUAUAUCAUUCAGAAGACAGCACAAAUCUCUUAGCUUUAAAAUUAAUCACAGUUCAUUGAGUUCCAUUAUGCUCUACUGUUUAUCUUUCUGUUUGAUGUUUUUCCCACUCUUGAGAAAGGAACACUAAAACCACACAAUUUUUAUUUUGGAAAUGUAUGUCUUUUCAUAUUUCAGUUCAUUUUUUCCUUAGGAAUUAGAAACUAUGUGUUUAACAUUGUUGACAUUGAUUCAUUAUCUAUGAUUUAUUUAGGUAUAAUGCAAUUUCAUUAUUCACUUUUAUUGACAAGAGACAAUUACUUCAUUAACUAAAAACCUGAACUCAAAGUCAGGAAGACCUGGGUUCAAAAACCUCCUUUCAAUACACCCUGACAAUGUGAAGUCAAUUAAACUAGAAAAGUCUAUUAAACCCCAAAUUUUUCUGUGCAACUCUCUAAGAAUAUAAAUAACAGAAAUUAUGUUGACUUGUAUUGGAAGAAAUGGGUUUCUUCACCUGAGAGUUCUCUUUAUCAAUGAAAUGACAGAUAUAGUCAGUAUAGAUGGUGUUAAAUUCAUUCUCUUCUUCUUUGAAGUCAAUACUUUGACCUUGCAAUUAGUUUCAAUUAAAUUAUGUUGAUAUAAUCAUACACCCAUAGACGUUCUUUCUUUCUUUCUUUUUUGCUUUCUUUCUUCUUUCUCUCUUUCUUUCUUUCUUUCUUUCUUUCUUUCUUUCUUUCUUUCUUUCUUUCUUUCUUUCUUUCUUUCUUUCUUUCUUUCUUUCUUUCUUUCUUUCUUUCUCUCUCUCUCUCUCUCUCUCUCUCUCUCUCUCUCUUUCUUUCUUUCUUUCUUUCUUUCUUUCUUUCUUUCUUUCUCUCUCUCUCUCUCUCUCUCUCUCUCUCUCUUUCUUUCUUUCUUUCUUUCUUUCUUUCUUUCUUUCUUUCUUUCUUUCUUUCUUUCUUUCUUUCUUUCUUUCUUUCUUUCUUUCUUUCUUUCUUUCUUUCUUUCUUUCUUUCUUUCUUUCUUUCUUUCUUUCUCUCCUUCCUCUUCUUCUUGCUACUUAUCUCAUACCUCAAUAAUUUUACAUUCUUUUGGGGAGAAGAGUAUGAUAAACAUCUACAGAAAUAAGCACAAAGAGUUAUGAAUAAAAUAGGACUAGGAUAAUUGAGUCUGUAGCGAGAAUUUACCAUUGGAGAGGUUAUCGAAAGCUUCAAGAAGGAGGAAGCACCUGAGAUGAGUCUUAAAGGAAGGCAGGAAAACAUUCUGAACCGUUGUGAUGGAGUACAUUCCAGGAAAGGCAAAGAGCUUGUUUGAUUUUUUGGAAGUAAGAGAUGACAUACUCAUUGUGUUUGAAGACUGCCCAAUAGUCCUAGUUGACUCAAAAAUAGAUUUCUUAAAAUGGAGCAGCAUGAAUUGGGUGGGAUUUGGAUUUUGGACCUGUUUCUAAAGAAAGAUCCAACUCCCUGUAACUACUUUUUCCCCCCUGAUCUAUCAUGUGAAGCAUUAUCAUGCUAGUUUCAAUUUCUCUUUCAGGGUUAUCAAUUUUUAGUUAUGAGUACUCCUUUUACUGAGAUCAAUCACAGUUAAUCUUUGAAUUAGGAGCUGGUCUUCAUGUUACUAUGUUCCAAAAAUCAAUCUACUCCAACUAUAUGCCCAAUUUUAUAGGUUAGAUGAACCUCUUUGAACUUAUGCCCUUUUUGAAAUUAGUUGGGCUGGUCCUUGGACCAAGACCUGCCAAAGUUGCUGUUAUCCAGACAUGACAAAAAAGGGCUCAGAAGUACCCCACUCUGAACAGGAUAGAAAUCCUAUUUCUUUUAAUAAAGUUACCUGCAUAGGUGUCA
This is a long non-coding RNA of Monodelphis domestica (gray short-tailed opossum), 1949 nucleotides long. The record is from Ensembl. NCBI's taxonomy places the organism in Eukaryota, Metazoa, Chordata, Mammalia, Didelphimorphia, Didelphidae.